GAUGGCUUACAUAGGGAAUUCUGUUAAUACCCCCUUUAACCAUAAAUUAUAUAGUAAAAUAUAACACCAUAUAACAGGCUUUUACAUUACUUUCUCGUUACAAUUACUACAAUUACUAGUUUUUUUUUUUUUUUUUUAUUAUUAUUAUUAUUAUUAUAUAGUAAGCUGCCUGCUUAGGCAUGUGAGGCCCAAAAUUGGCUAGGCUGCCUUGACACUCACACAGUUUGUAAACAUCCAAAGUUCCGUAGCAUCAAAACGACUUUUGUUCUAAUAUAAUUUUCGGACAAGAUAGAAACAGGUGUUACAAGUGUUUAUACUCACCUAAUUUUUCAACUAUAUUACUUGCAUCGCGUCAGUCAACACCGCUUCGUCCGCGAACAGCGUAAACAUCUCGCGUAAUAACAUUUAAGAGGGUCAUUAUAGUUGCUAGACAUAAUGACUAUUACAAAUGCAGACAUUUAAACAACAAAAGAAGCGGCUAAAGGACAGGACGUUUCUGUUUGUCCUCCAAGGUCCUCAUAAACUAUGUAACCGAGUAGAGAGGAAUCAGAUAUACCCACUGAGCGGCGCUAUAGCCCAUGAAAAUGAUGUUUGUUAGAGAGCGCGCGGGAAAGAUCCAAGGUGACAGGAGAGCGAGGCACUUCACUGCUGCCACAGAUAAAGAACUGCAUCUGCCACCCCAUGAAAUUCAGGCGAGAGCUCUCCCAGUGGUGCGCUACAAGCUUGGAAGGAGGCAAAGAGACAUCUAUGCAGAGAAAAGGAGAAAUGUUAAGGCUAGUUCAUUAUCCGCUUGUAGCUCAUCCAUGCAAAUAGAUCACCGUGAUACUGUGGUUGUUAAUGACUUUCUCCUGUUUUCUCUAGGGUCUUCUCAUCUGAAACUCAACUGGCUGAAAAGCUUCUCGGCUACUUUUCUUUUUUCACCCAUCUACCUUUCGACCAAAGCAGUGAGUCCUUCUUCUUGUACUCUUUCACCUGCUGCCAUCAGUAGUAAUGUCCGAGAGCUGCGCAACCUCAAGAGCUUCGAUCAAAGAGCUCUUCGCUCUUAAUGGGCCGCAUCUCACAUCUGCCUACAGAUUGGGCUAUUUAGUCUUCUUUAAUUCCCCACUGUUUAGGUUGAAAACAUAUGUAUUUGCAAGGAAUACCAGACUGUUUUAUAAAGUACAAUUUCCAGUACACCACAGAAAGUAAAAAUAGUUUUACAUUCAGUCAAUGUAUUGCAAUGUAAAAUCUGUGGUUUACAAGCAAUACCUGUAUAAUGAUCUAUUGUGCAUUUUAGUUAUGCUGAUAUAAUUGCCAUAUUAACAUGAAUUAACAUUUACUCGACCUUUUUCCAGUAACCUCCAAUGUGACCUGACAGUGUUUAUUUAAACAACGGACACCUCGAGUUGCAUACACUUAGAAUGAAAUUAUGCCAUGUAGCUUCUAUAUUCAUGCACAUGUGUUUAUUUAAUAAAUAUAUUGGCUUAGUGUCUCAUUUAUUAAACAUUAUCAUGAAAUGACUAGAUGUACAGUAAUAUUAUAAAUUCAAAAAAUAACUACACUUUUAUGAUUAGUAUUUUUUUUUAAUACAUGUUGGUUUGAAAAUUGGCAUGUAUUAACAAAACAAUGACUUAAUCGUUUGCUUGUAGCAAUGGAUUUUCAUGCCAAGGCUUUUUAAAUGUAAAAAAGUGAUUGAUUUCUUGUUAGGGGACCUCACAAAAUACAUAUCAUAACAAUGUGCCCAGGGUGUUUUCAGUGUUCCAUAAUAUGAAAGGCAAGAAGAUACAAUUGCAGUCCAUCAUCUGUAUUUCCUCCUCAAAUAUGUGUUAUGACUCCUGAUACUCUUAAGGUUUGGAGAUGAAACAUUAACGAGAUUUGGCAGCCAGUGGGAGAUGAGUUCUGCAGAAGUGUUGUUUAUACAAUCCCAUGGAGAUACUCCCCAGACUCUGCCCUUGUGUUUGGCUGACCAGACGUCACCUGGGGCCGGCUUAGGAGGCCUGCCUGUCGGGUCAUGGAUUGGCUUGUUGUCUUGCAGGGUCCCUAGCGGUGUCUCUCACAUGCUGUACGUCUGAUCAUGUGCAGCUGGAUGGAAGGUUCCACAUGUACUUGGCCUCACCCUGAGGAACUGCGGGUCGGGGUGUCAAGGUGCAGCAGACCAUCCAAUGCUUCACGACUCGUUCUGGCCUGUUUGGAAGCCGAGCUGUGCUGAUCUAAGAGUUUCAUCCAAAUUAUGUAUUUCCCAUGUGUGUGCUAUAGCACAUAAACUCAGUGUUUUUAGGGGGCUGGUGCGAUGUGUUUUCCAGGCCUUUGUGCACUGUGCAUAGAUAAAGUAUAUGGUUUUUGGUAGGAAUUAAAACAGACUACCAAACUAUUUAAUUAAAAAAGUUUAUAACCAAAACAAUAUACACUACUGUUCAAAAGUUUGGAGUUGGUAAGAUUGUUUUUUGAAAUAAGUCACAUUUAAUAUUGAGAAACUGCAUUAUGAAUUAAAAAAAACUUAUUAAUAUAUUUUAGAUUUAUUAUUAUUAUUAUUAUUCAUGUAAUGGCAAAGCUGCUGCUGCUUAAUGUUUUUGUGGGAAACAUUGAUAUAUUUUUUCAGGAUACUUUAAUGAAUAGAAAAUUCAAACAGCAGUUUAUUUAUUUUUUAAAUAGAAAUGUUAUGUAA
Long non-coding RNA from Cyprinus carpio carpio, 2644 nucleotides. NCBI's taxonomy places the organism in Eukaryota, Metazoa, Chordata, Actinopteri, Cypriniformes, Cyprinidae. The record is from Ensembl.